RNAcentral lists this ribosomal RNA (253 nucleotides) under uncultured bacterium. RNAcentral's name for it is "partial 16S ribosomal RNA". It matches the Rfam family "Bacterial small subunit ribosomal RNA", at positions 524 to 776 of the family's 1533-position model. The record is from RNAcentral.
UACGUAGGGACCAAGCGUUGUUCGGAUUUACUGGGCGUAAAGAGCGUGUAGGCGGCCCGGUAAGUCCGCUGUGAAAGUCCAGGGCUCAACCCUGGGAUGCCGGUGGAUACUGUCGGGCUCGAGUCCGGAAGAGGAGUGUGGAAUUCCUGGUGUAGCGGUGAAAUGCGCAGAUAUCAGGAGGAACACCAAUGGCGAAGGCAGCACUCUGGGACGUGACUGACGCUGAGACGCGAAAGCGUGGGGAGCAAACAGG